Molecule: ribosomal RNA, 209 nt
Filed under: uncultured fungus
Lineage: Eukaryota; Fungi
Description: partial 18S ribosomal RNA
Rfam family: Eukaryotic small subunit ribosomal RNA
Source: RNAcentral
UUAAAGUUGUUGAGGUUAAAAAGCUCGUAGUUGAACCUUGGGCCUAGCCGGUCGGUCCGCCUCACCGCGUGCACUGGCUCGGUUGGAUCUUUCCUUCUGGAGAACCGCAUGCCCUUCACUGGGUGUGUUGGGGAACCAGGACUUUUACUCUGAACAAAUUAGAUCGCUUAAAGAAGGCCUAUGCUCGAAUACUCUAGCAUGGAAUAAUA